Zingiber officinale is the source of this 680-nucleotide long non-coding RNA. RefSeq lists it as uncharacterized. The transcript has 3 exons. The record is from RefSeq and is a predicted model, not a curated record. Lineage: Eukaryota; Viridiplantae; Streptophyta; Magnoliopsida; Zingiberales; Zingiberaceae.
CCAGGAACUUACCACAAAGCUUGGCACGCAACAUGUUAAAGUUGACACAUCAAUUUCAGUUUUAUUGGCUAUUCAAAAUGCCUUCUUUUUGCUCAGGUUCAUAGACUACUCAACACCAGGCUACAAUCAUCAAAUCUACACUUUCAAGUUUCUCCUUAGUACAAAAUUAAAGCUACCAAUUUCAGAAUUUGGAACUCCAAGAAUUUUCAGCUUAAGUCAUGAAGACUUCGGCUGUGCAUUGGUUAGAAAUUGAGUUUCAAUUAUGUUGAUUGACAACUACAGUUUCUUUCUGCAGAGUUCCUGCUCAUUGGAGUCUGAAUUACAGUCCAAGUUCAGUUUUUCAAUGCAGAUUUCAGGAUUUCAAACUGGCAGCGAUAUAUAAUUCCAAGCUCCUGGCUGCUGUAAAAGUCCACUGAUGCAAACUACAACAACUUCAAUAAUAAGAAGCCCUGCUCAUUCUGAAUUUCUGCAAUUCUGCAAUUCUGAAUUUCUGCACUUUUGUUUCAGAAUAGAUUUCAGAAAUCUGAAAUUUCAGGUUAUGCAUUGCUAAGUUGAUAUUCAAACAGCCACAACAUGAAUUCCCAAAUUUCAGACUUUACUUAUGUGCCAGAACUUGUUAUCUCAGCAAGAACAAUUUUGAAUUCUGCACUUCUAGUUCAGAUUUCUGAUUUCAAUUUCAA